This is a long non-coding RNA of Alligator mississippiensis (American alligator), 654 nucleotides long. RefSeq lists it as uncharacterized. The transcript is spliced from 3 exons. NCBI's taxonomy places the organism in Eukaryota, Metazoa, Chordata, Crocodylia, Alligatoridae. The record is from RefSeq and is a predicted model, not a curated record.
UAGUAGUUGUGGAGUACUUCUUGAAAUAUACUAAGCAUUUUAUAUGAAUUCUGUUUCUCAGCACUGAUAAUGGCGAUACACUGAUCUGAAUGGUCCCUUCUAGUAGUACCCUCAAGCAGGUUGCCAAUGUCACUCUGGCCUUUGGAGAUGCUGAGCAGGCAGUGCUGUAACAAGCGGGGGGCGAGUGGGACAACUGUCCUGGGCGCCGAAGUGAAGUGGCACCAACAAGUGCUGUCCAGCCAAGGCAAGGCACAGGAUGGAGCUGCAGAUACUGUGCAUCUCUGUGGGUAUGAGGACUCCACUGGAGAGCCCCUCUGAGAGAUGGAGUCAGAACUGGUCCCAUUACUCUGAUCUUUCAUUGUCGGCCAGCGUAAUUAGGAAAGCAGAGCUCUACUUUGCUGUAUCCUUCACUCUUCAGGUUACCAGGCAGAUGCUGAGCUGAUGAAACUGUGGUUGCCUUUUGUGCAGCAUGUUUCACCCUUGGGGGCCUAACAUGACAGAAUUGAACUGUGAAGAUUAUCAAGAGUCUGCUUAAAAGCAAUGCUGCAAGUCUGUCAUACAAAAUGGGAGAGAAGAAAAAAUGAGAGCCAGCAGGAGAAUGUAUUGGAAAAUAUAAUUUUCAUUUUGAAUUACAUGAAUAAAUGGAAAAAUCUU